UCCGGCGACCACAGCGAUGGGGCCACACCUCUUCCCAUUCCGAACAGAGCAGUUAAGCCCAUCCGCGCCGAUGGUACUGCGCGGGUAGCCGCGUGGGAGAGUAGGUCGUCGCCGGGA
RNAcentral lists this ribosomal RNA (117 nucleotides) under Candidatus Zixiibacteriota bacterium. The record is from RNAcentral. Lineage: Bacteria; Pseudomonadati; Candidatus Zixiibacteriota.